This is a regulatory RNA element of Alligator mississippiensis (American alligator), 114 nucleotides long. It matches the Rfam family "Potassium channel RNA editing signal". From Rfam's summary of the family: This family represents a group of sequences related to the human potassium channel Kv1.1 hairpin element which directs the efficient modification of an adenosine to inosine by an adenosine deaminase acting on RNA (ADAR). The ADAR modification causes an isoleucine/valine recoding event which lies in the ion-conducting pore of the potassium channel. The record is from Rfam. NCBI's taxonomy places the organism in Eukaryota, Metazoa, Chordata, Crocodylia, Alligatoridae.
GUGGGCUAUGGGGACAUGAGGCCCGUCACCGUCGGGGGCAAGAUUGUGGGCUCCUUGUGCGCCAUCGCUGGCGUGCUGACCAUAGCCCUGCCUGUGCCCGUCAUCGUGUCCAAC